AAUAUAUUUAUACAGAUGUUAAAGAGAUUAACAGCAUUUCAUCAAUCUGUGUAACAGCUUAAAAAAUAGAAGAGAUAAAGACUCUUUAAUAAUACCAGUAUAGUGGGGCAUUUAAAAACCUGUAAUCUUUCAUUUUAACUUCAGUCCUUUCAUUGUUUCUCUCCUGAUUGCAGCUGGAGCCCUUCAGUGUCAAACCUGCACAGAUCAGACAUGUUCAACCACAGUAGCAAAUACAUGUUCUUCAGAGACCAUGUGUGUUACAGCUACUAUUUUAGCUACCUCAUCUGGAACUACGGCAACACAAAUCUACAAGGCAUGUGCAUCUUCCUCCCUGUGUCCAACUACGGGCUCUCAGACAUUUGCAGUUGACCUGGGUGUUCAAAGUGCUCUUGCAUCUGUCACGUGCUGCAACACGGAUAACUGCAACUCAGCAACUCUGGCUGCCCCUACUCCUCAGUCAAGUAACGGCCUACUAUGUAACUAUUGUUCCACCUCUCAGUGCAACACACCAUUGCAAUGUCAGGGAGUGGAGGACCAAUGUUUUCAAUCAAUAA
This is a long non-coding RNA of Oreochromis niloticus (Nile tilapia), 554 nucleotides long. RefSeq lists it as uncharacterized. The transcript is spliced from 3 exons. The record is from RefSeq and is a predicted model, not a curated record. NCBI's taxonomy places the organism in Eukaryota, Metazoa, Chordata, Actinopteri, Cichliformes, Cichlidae.